GAUGAUCCAAUUGAGAGAGAUUUGUGGUGGCAAUGUGAUGUUGAGGUAGCGCCAUAUGUUGUAUGUGGUCGUGCAGCGGAAAAAUAUGUGAGAAAUAUCUUCAGGCUCUUGUUUGCAAACUGGACAGGUGGUAUCAUUGGUAAGAUUUCAAUUAAAAGGAAAUGUAAGGGUUGGUAAUUUAUGUUGUAGCAUGAGCCAAAGAAAGUGCUUAGUUUUGUUGGUAGAAUGUAUUUUCCAUAUCCAAGUUAU
RNAcentral lists this long non-coding RNA (249 nucleotides) under Nicotiana benthamiana. Its description in RNAcentral is "long non-coding RNA (NBEN_LNC040920)". The record is from RNAcentral. Lineage: Eukaryota; Viridiplantae; Streptophyta; Magnoliopsida; Solanales; Solanaceae.